This is an RNA transcript of Glossina fuscipes, 2225 nucleotides long. It is a transcript of the gene named protein FRG1 homolog, with no coding region annotated. The transcript has 4 exons. Lineage: Eukaryota; Metazoa; Arthropoda; Insecta; Diptera; Glossinidae. The record is from RefSeq and is a predicted model, not a curated record.
CAUACAUCAUUUUGUUAUUAUAUUUUAACAUAAAAUAUUAGUUAAAAUGUCCGCAUACGAGGUAGUUAAUGUUAGUCGCUUAGUGUUGAAAGGAGAAAAAAAUAAAAAAAACAAAAAGCAGAAAAAGGAAAAACAACAUAGGGAAACUUCAGUUAAGAAGCGCAAGAUUCAAGUUGAUGAAGAAGCUCUGAAGUUUGGAGGAUGGUGGAAAACUACAUUGACCUCGGAAAUAACCGGCACUGUAGCCAUACAAUUUGGUGAACGGUCUUUUGUAAAAGCUUUAGAUAACGGCUUAUUUACAUUAGGGCCGCCACAUCGCGACGGCGAUGGACCGGAUCCUGAAGAAAUAUUUACCGCUUUCCCGAUUAAUGAUCGAAAAGUCUCAUUUAAAUCCGGCUAUGGUAAAUAUAUGAAAGUAGAGAAAGAUGGAAUGGUCACUGGGCGAUCAGAAGCCGUUGGUAGCAUGGAGCAAUGGGAGCCAGUUUUUCAGGAUGGUAAAAUGGCUCUGCUUUCAGAAUUGAGCUUCUUCAUGUCAAUCGAUCCGGAAGAUGAUGCAUGCGUUGCUUUACGUAAGAAAGUUACAGAUUUAGAAAUAUGUCAAGUCAGAUGUAAUGCAGCGCGCGAAGCUAUCGUAGAAGAAGAACCUAAGGAAGAAAAGGGCGAUCUAACUGAAGUGGAAAAGAAUUAUGUAAAAAAGUUUCAGAAAUUCCAAGAUAAAAAAUUAAGAAUUAAUACAGAUGACGUUAAAGAAUUGGAAAUGGCAAAAGACAAGGGCAUUUUACAUGAAGCUUUGCUAGAUCGUCGCAGUAAAAUGAAAGCGGACCGCUACUGUAAAUAAUUGUUGUUACAAAAAAAGUGAAAUGAACUUUUACCAAGACUUGGAAAUUUUAAAAUAUAUACAUGAUACAAGAUAUUAAGCAAAUUUGUAUGAAAGAUGCACAUUAAUUACGUUCCUCCAAAACGCGCUUCAUAUUCUUAAAAAAGGUUUAAAAAAAAAGAACGAAAAUUAAAUUUCACGUAUGCAUUCAAAUAUAUAUAAAUCCUGGUCAUAGAACUUCAAAAAAUUCUUAAUAUGUGUAUUUGCAUAUAGGAAACAUUUAAUCAAUAUUUUAUUGACAAAUUCAACACAAUGGAUGAAAUGCAAAACUACGAACUGACUAUAGUAUAGUUUAAGCAACAGUUUCAAGGAGGCCAUUGGCACUGCCGGAAUGCCAUUGUUAUCCUUCUACAAUCGUAAACUAGAUGCAGAAACAUUAUGGGUACAUUAUCAAUUUUUUGAUUUGGAUAUACGAAGCUCACAUAUAGGGCACAUAAUGUCAGCAAAUGCAUCUCCAUGGCUAUAAACAAAUUUACGACUUCGAGAUAGAAUUUAGAUGGACAAUGUCGCUACAUAGAAUCAUCCAACACAGAUUAUCUGCAUCUUUCUAACUCACACUAUUUGAAGCAGUCAUCAUUUAGAUUUUGAAAAACUGAAAAAUAAUUUACUUUUGAAAUAAAAAUGAACGUGGACAUUGGAAACCCCUUUCUUCUACCCAGGAUUAAGGAAGGACAACUUAUUAAUUUUACAGUUAUAAUAUAGGCAUGGCGUCCGAUAAGUUUUUUCCCCGCCACUCACCGUAUGACCUAAAGUCGGCUAUGGUUGUAAACAUGCAGUAAUGUUCGUUUAUGGCAUCGAUUUCAGUCGUCUCACAGCUCUUUCAAAGUACGUUCCAUUGGUGACAAAAUCUCUUUUAAAAUCUUUUUCUACGCCAUCCAAGAUGGAUAGACAAAGGAAGCAUUUGCGGAAUGUUGGGUUUCAUUGCUCUAAAAAAAGGUAGCAGUUCAAAGGGCCCUGCAGAAGGAGGUUUGAUUUGCAAGAUCGCAACCGGCGCCCAGCUCGGACGCCCGAUAUGGACCCCAUUAAGCAUAUGCUCACUGAAAAUUCGCGAUAUAGCUGACGUCACUAGCGUUUCUAGAGCAACGGUACGGACAUGCCACCUCGUGAUUUCACAUCCAAAAAAAAAAAAGAAAAAAAGAAACUUAUAGGAAACAGCAGGUCAAGUUCACUCAUUAUUAUUUGCUUGGAGCUCUUGCAAGAUGUAGCGCAAAAACGUAAAAGUUAGCGCAAUUCGUUUACAAAGUGUUUAAAGAUUAAGCAAACAUGGGAGAGGACAAAACACAGUCCUGGGAGAAAAUUACAAAUAUUUUUCAUAUAAUUUUGUAGACUGACCCUAAACUACGAAAAA